RNAcentral lists this non-coding RNA (148 nucleotides) under Nomascus leucogenys (northern white-cheeked gibbon). The record is from Rfam by way of RNAcentral. Lineage: Eukaryota; Metazoa; Chordata; Mammalia; Primates; Hylobatidae.
GCCGGGCAUGGUGACGCGUGCCUGUAGUCCCAGCUCCUUGGGAGGCUGAGGCAGGAGGAUGGCUUGAGGCCGGGAGGUUAAGGUUGCAGUGAGCUGUGAUCAUGCCACUGCACUCCAGCCUGGGUGACCAAGCAAGACCCUGUCUCAG